Molecule: ribosomal RNA, 253 nt
Filed under: uncultured bacterium
Lineage: Bacteria
Description: partial 16S ribosomal RNA
Rfam family: Bacterial small subunit ribosomal RNA
Source: RNAcentral
UACAGAGGGGGCAAGCGUUGUUCGGAAUUACUGGGCGUAAAGGGCGCGUAGGCGGUUAUGUGAGUGUGAUGUGAAAGCCCUGGGCUUAACCUAGGAAGUGCAUCGCAAACGACAUAACUGGAGUAUAAGAGAGGGUGGCGGAAUUUCCGGUGUAGCGGUGAAAUGCGUAGAGAUCGGAAGGAACGUCAAUGGCGAAGGCAGCCACCUGGCUUAAUACUGACGCUGAAGCGCGAAAGCGUGGGGAGCGAACAGG